This 257-nucleotide ribosomal RNA is filed under the name uncultured bacterium. Its description in RNAcentral is "partial 16S ribosomal RNA". It matches the Rfam family "Bacterial small subunit ribosomal RNA", at positions 793 to 1055 of the family's 1533-position model. The record is from RNAcentral.
GUCCACGCCGUAAACGAUGAUUACUCGUUGCAAGCGAUAUACUGUUUGUGACUGAGCGAAAGCAUUAAGUAAUCCACCUGGGGAGUACGUUGGCAACGAUGAAACUCAAAGGAAUUGACGGGGGCCCGCACAAGCGGAGGAACAUGUGGUUUAAUUCGAUGAUACGCGAGGAACCUUACCUGGAUUUAAAUGUGCUUGACCGCCUCAGAAAAGGGGUUUUCCGCAAGGACAAGUACAAGGUGCUGCAUGGUUGUCGU